Molecule: ribosomal RNA, 407 nt
Filed under: Dermanyssus gallinae
Lineage: Eukaryota; Metazoa; Arthropoda; Arachnida; Mesostigmata; Dermanyssidae
Description: 5.8S ribosomal RNA
Rfam family: 5.8S ribosomal RNA (bases 221-377)
Source: RNAcentral
AAGGAUCAUUAUUGAAUCAAAAUCCAUUCACUCACUCAGAGAGGAUGGUACCUGUAUGAUGUGCUAUCCCACGCUGUUGGGAGAGCCAUUGCAAUGUAAUGACAUGUAUUCUAAAUUUGUAUCGCGUACUCACUUUACUAAGUUAGUCGCGUGUCGCCAGCCAUCGGCUGGUUUGACAACAAUUUUACCAAUUUGUGCUAUUGAGAUUAAAACAAAACAAGACUCAAUGUGGGGGAUCACUUAGUCCUUAAAUCGAUGAAAAACAUAGUAAUUUGUGGAAAAUGAUGUGAGUUGUGAAAUUUUGUGAGCAUUGUGUUUUUGAAUGAAAAUUUCAGCAUGGAUGCAUGCGUGUCUAUGCUGCAUUUGUUUCAGUAUAUAUCAAUGUAAAUUUGUCGUUACUAUUGCUU